RNAcentral lists this ribosomal RNA (640 nucleotides) under uncultured Acidobacteriota bacterium. Its description in RNAcentral is "bacterial SSU rRNA". It matches the Rfam family "Bacterial small subunit ribosomal RNA", at positions 8 to 650 of the family's 1533-position model. Lineage: Bacteria; Pseudomonadati; Acidobacteriota. The record is from RNAcentral.
AGAGUUUGAUCCUGGCUCAGAGCGAACGCUGGCGGCGUGCUUAACACAUGCAAGUCGAGUGCGCGCCCGUAGCAAUACGGGUGGCGCACGGCGCACGGGUGAGUAACACGUGGGCAACCUGCCCUUGGAUGGGGAAUAACCCCGCGAAAGCGGGGCUAAUACCGCAUAACACUCCUGGAACCGUGGUUCCGGGAUUCAAAGUCGUAAGACGUCCGAGGAGGGGCCCGCGCCCGAUUAGCUAGUUGGCGAGGUAAUGGCUCACCAAGGCAAUGAUCGGUAGCCGGUCUGAGAGGAUGGCCGGCCACACUGGAACUGAGACACGGUCCAGACUCCUACGGGAGGCAGCAGUGGGGAAUCUUGCGCAAUGGGCGAAAGCCUGACGCAGCGACGCCGCGUGGGGGAUGAAGCUUUUCGGAGUGUAAACCCCUUUCGACCGGGACGAAACGCCCGCAAGGGAAUUGACGGUACCGGUAGAAGAAGCCCCGGCUAACUACGUGCCAGCAGCCGCGGUAAGACGUAGGGGGCCAGCGUUGCUCGGAAUAACUGGGCGUAAAGGGUCCGUANGCGGUGUGGCAAGUCGGGAGUGAAAUCUCUGGGCUUAACCCANGGGCUGCUUCCGAAACUGCCGUGCUAAAAUGCC